AGAUGAGGUUUCCCAUAGCGAAAAGCUAGUAAGACCCCUGGAAGACUACCAGGUAGAUAGGCCGGGAGUGUAAGCUGGGCAACCAGUUCAGCUGACCGGUACUAAUAGGUCGAGGGCUUGACCUG
This 125-nucleotide ribosomal RNA is filed under the name Bacillota bacterium. RNAcentral describes it as "partial 23S ribosomal RNA". It matches the Rfam family "Bacterial large subunit ribosomal RNA", at positions 2802 to 2925 of the family's 2925-position model. The record is from RNAcentral. Lineage: Bacteria; Bacillati; Bacillota.